RNAcentral lists this ribosomal RNA (1350 nucleotides) under metagenome. RNAcentral's name for it is "bacterial LSU rRNA". It matches the Rfam family "Bacterial large subunit ribosomal RNA", at positions 1564 to 2925 of the family's 2925-position model. The record is from RNAcentral.
UGAGUGCGAGCUGCUACGGCAGCGAAGUUGGUGAUGUCAUGCUUCCAAGAAAAGCCCUAUACCCGUUAAGGCAUCAUGGCCUGUACCCGAAACCGACACAGGUGGGGUGGUAGAGAAUACCGAGGGGCGCGAGGUAACUCUCUCUAAGGAACUCGGCAAAAUGGCCCCGUAACUUCGGGAGAAGGGGUGCCACCGCAAGGUGGUCGCAGUGAAGAGGCCCAGGCGACUGUUUACCAAAAACACAGGUCUCCGCUAAGUCGCAAGACGAUGUAUGGGGGCUGACGCCUGCCCAGUGCCGGAAGGUUAAGGAAGCUGGUCAGCGCAAGCGAAGCUAGCGACUGAAGCCCCGGUGAACGGCGGCCGUAACAAUAACGGUCCUAAGGUAGCGAAAUUCCUUGUCGGGUAAGUUCCGACCCGCACGAAAGGCGUAACGAUCUGGGCGCUGUCUCGGAGAGAGGCUCGGCGAAAUAGAAUUGUCUGUGAAGAUGCGGACUACGUGCACCCGGACAGAAAGACCCUAUGAAGCUUUACUGUAGCUUGGUAUUGUGCCCGGGCUCGCAAUGCGCAGGAUAGGUGGGAGGCUUUGAUCAUCGGCUUGCGGGUCGAUGUGAGCCAACGGUGAGAUACCACUCUUUGCGAGCUAGGGUUCUAACGGCCACCCGUCAUCCGGGGGCCGGACAGUACCUGGUGGGCAGUUUGACUGGGGCGUUCGCCUCCUAAAAGGUAACGGAGGCGCGCAAAGGUUUGCUCAGGCUGGUUGGAAAUCAGCCGACGAGUGUAAAAGCAGAAGCAAGCUUGACUGUGAGACCAACAAGUCGAACAGGGAGGAAACUCGGCUUUAGUGAUCCGACGGUUCUGAGUGGAAGGGCCGUCGCUCAACGGAUAAAAGUUACUCUAAGGAUAACAGGCUGAUCUCCCCCAAGAGUUCACAUCGACGGGGAGGUUUGGCACCUCGAUGUCGGCUCAUCGCAACCUGGGGCUGAAGUCGGUCCCAAGGGUUGGGCUGUUCGCCCAUUAAAGCGGUACGCGAGCUGGGUUCAGAACGUCGUGAGACAGUUCGGUCCAUAUCCGGUGCACGCGCAGGAAUAUUGAGAGGAUUUCUCCCUAGUACGAGAGGACCGGGAGGAACGCACCUCUGGUGUACCAGUUAUCGUGCCAACGGUAAACGCUGGGUAGCCAUGUGCGGAGUGGAUAACCGCUGAAAGCAUCUAAGUGGGAAGCCCACCUCAAGAUGAGUAUUCCCAUGGCGUAAGCCAGUAAGGUCACGGGAAGAACACCCGUUGAUAGGCUCUAUGUGGAAGCGCAGUAAUGCGUGAAGCAGAGGAGUACUAAUAGACCGAGGGCUUGACC